UGGGGAAUAUUGCACAAUGGGCGCAAGCCUGAUGCAGCCAUGCCGCGUGUGUGAAGAAGGCCUUCGGGUUGUAAAGCACUUUCAGUGGUGAGGAAGGUCAGUAAGUUAAUAGCUUGCUGAAUUGACGUUAGCCACAGAAGAAGCACCGGCUAACUCCGUGCCAGCAGCCGCGGUAAUACGGAGGGUGCAAGCGUUAAUCGGAAUUACUGGGCGUAAAGCGUACGUAGGCGGUGUGUUAAGCAAGAUGUGAAAGCCCCGGGCUCAACCUGGGAAUUGCAUUUUGAACUGGCACGCUAGAGUCCUGAAGAGGGUGGUAGAAUUUCCAGUGUAGCGGUGAAAUGCGUAGAUAU
This 350-nucleotide ribosomal RNA is filed under the name uncultured bacterium. RNAcentral's name for it is "bacterial SSU rRNA". It matches the Rfam family "Bacterial small subunit ribosomal RNA", at positions 355 to 697 of the family's 1533-position model. The record is from RNAcentral.